ACCUGAUGGUGUGGGCAUUGACAUAGCAGAUCCCUAAAGUGUUCCCACAUCUCAAAAAAUAGUUCCCCACCCAUCUGUAAGAAACUAGUGAUGGCUCUCCUAAGCU
Molecule: small nucleolar RNA, 106 nt
Organism: Malania oleifera
Lineage: Eukaryota; Viridiplantae; Streptophyta; Magnoliopsida; Santalales; Ximeniaceae
Source: RefSeq, a predicted model, not a curated record